RNAcentral lists this ribosomal RNA (433 nucleotides) under uncultured bacterium. Its description in RNAcentral is "partial 16S ribosomal RNA". It matches the Rfam family "Bacterial small subunit ribosomal RNA", at positions 29 to 507 of the family's 1533-position model. The record is from RNAcentral.
AACGAACGCUGGCGGCAUGCCUAACACAUGCAAGUCGAACGAGACCUUCGGGUCUAGUGGCGCACGGGUGCGUAACGGGUGGGAACCUGCCCUUAGGUUCGGAAUAACUACCCGAAAGGGGGGAUAAUACCGGAUAAUGUCUUAGGACCAAAGAUUUAUCGACUUUGGAUGGGCCCGCGUUGGAUUAGCUAGUUGGUAGGGUAAAAGCCGACCACGGCGACGAUCAAUAGCUGGUCUGAGAGGAUGAUCAGCCACACUGGGACUGAGACACGGCCCAGACUCCUACGGGAGGCAGCAGUGGGGAAUAUUGGACAAUGGGCGAAAGCCUGAUACAGCAAUGCCGCGUGAGUUAUGAAGGCCUUAGGGUUGUAAAGCUCUUUUAACCGGGAUGAUAAUGACAGUACCGGGUGAAUAAGCUCCGGCUAACUCCGUG